CUCUUUUAGGUCUGACAGAACAUAUGAUUGGAAAAAUCUUCCGAACUAUGAAGGACCAAGUCAAAUUUUUAAAGGCUCUCGAGAACCUUAAAAGAACAAAAGCAAAUGAGCAUAUUGUUUCAGAGAAGGUGCUACCAGUAGAAUGCAGAGAAGUGCCACAAACCUCAACAAGUGUUCAUGUUUGGACCGCAUGUUAUACAUUGCCUAUAUUUCCUCCAGUUGUACAGAUGGCCCUUGAUAGAAAGGACAUUGGUUUCAAAUCAAAAGACAAAUCUGCCCUUCGUGCAGCUCUAAUACAGACUCUGUUUGAUGACCUCAGCAAAUAUACGCUGUAUCCAGACCACAUAAUGUACAGUACUGUGCUAAGUACUUUGUGCUGUAAGUACAGAUUUCUAAGGGAUGACAGCCAAACUGGAUAUGCUACUCUACUUGAAAUACUGAGAAAUAAAUUCAAAAAAGAGAGAAAGACACUUAUUUCAGUGGAGACUGUAGAAGACAUGAAAAAAAGUUUGGUGCUGUGGGUCGAGGAAGGAAGCGUGCACCAGAGCAACAGCAACCGCUCAUGAAAAAGAGAAGAGAAUCUGUAAGCCUAACUCUUGGAUCUGCAUUGACAGAAAUAGAUUGAAAUAGAAUUACAUACUUUAUAUAUGUACAUACAUGCGAUUGUGUAGUUUAUUAGCUAAUUGGCUUUCAUGGAGAGUACUUGAUCUUUAGCAUUUUUCCAGAGUAAAG
Molecule: long non-coding RNA, 732 nt
Organism: Acipenser ruthenus (sterlet)
Lineage: Eukaryota; Metazoa; Chordata; Actinopteri; Acipenseriformes; Acipenseridae
Exons: 4
Source: RefSeq, a predicted model, not a curated record